CAAGGAAUAGUUUAAUGUUAGAAUCUUAGCUUUGGGAGCUAAGGGUAGAAGUUAGAAUCUUCUUUCCUUGA
Molecule: transfer RNA, 71 nt
Filed under: Polynemus dubius (eastern paradise fish)
Lineage: Eukaryota; Metazoa; Chordata; Actinopteri; Polynemidae
Also listed under: 1 other name
Description: tRNA-Pro
Rfam family: tRNA
About the family: Transfer RNA (tRNA) molecules are approximately 80 nucleotides in length. Their secondary structure includes four short double-helical elements and three loops (D, anti-codon, and T loops).
Source: RNAcentral